This is a non-coding RNA of Pelobates cultripes (western spadefoot toad), 1535 nucleotides long. The record is from the annotation of a GenBank genome assembly. NCBI's taxonomy places the organism in Eukaryota, Metazoa, Chordata, Amphibia, Anura, Pelobatidae.
GGGGGGGGGGAGGCAGUGUAUUAAAGUAGAGUGGUGGGAGUGGAGGGAGGAUGUCUGGGAGAUAGCCACUAAGGGCAGUUUUGGCCCUGCAAUAUACACAUUGCAGUUUCUCUAAAACUGCUGUUUUAUAUUGCAGGGUUAAGGGGACAAGGACACUGCAUCCAGCCCACGUCAAUUAGAUGAAGUGGCCUGGGUGCCGAUAGUAUCCCUUUAAGUUUAGAAUCUGAACAGUGAGAGGGACCUUCAUUUUCUAACUUUCAUAGGACCCUGUGCUACAUUAACCCUAUUAAUGAACUAUGACGGUCUAUGCCAGCACAGUGAUCCUAGAGCAUGGGGCUGCACAGAGCUGUCAAGCCUAAAUAAAAGGACAUUCUAUUCAAUCAUGCUAUUUUUAGGGAUUGUAGUGUGAAGACAGCACAAUGAAUGUUGGUAUUUGCAGUUAGAAAAGUUAAAUGAGUAAUAAUGAAAGUUCCCCUGUCUGCCCAUUUGCUUCCUAACUCUAAACUGGACAAGGCUUUAUCUACUUUUGUCAUAAUGUUUCCAAAUGUCUAACUCAGGGUUUUUUGAACAGGAUGCUCAUGGAAUUAAUUUGGCACCUGUGGCUUUCCCUGCACGUGACUUCUAUAGUCUCCCUAAAAACUUCCUAUAAAGAGUCAUCUAAUGUUUGUACUGACUUUAUUGCAAAUUAUGUUCAAUUUAAAAUGGAUUAUGUUCUGCUCUGUUAAUAGAUUGCUAUACCCUACAGGAGAACCCUGUGUGUGAUUAAAGUUCAAGUUGCAGAGCAGGAGAUAAAAACUUUUAAAGAAAGUUACAUCUGAUUGAAAAUGAAACCAUUUUGUUUUCAUGCAGGCUGUGUCAGUCACAUUUUGACUAGGGCUACAUAAAGAGAAACAGAAGUUAUUGAGCAGUGAAACUUCAGAGGCAUCAUCUAUACACUAAAACUGCUUCAUUAAGCUGAAGUUAUUUGGUGAAUUCAGUGUCCCUUAAAAGAGGAGCCAAUGAAUGAAACAAUCCAUAAUAAAACCAUCAUAUAGUUUUUGCAUUGCAGAAACGAUCUGAUGUUAAAUAAAACAUAUUUGUUGCUAGUUAGUAAUUCCUGUGAUGUUUUUAGCAGAUUACUAACUAAAUGUACAGUAAAUACCAUACGGUCUAUUUACAAAUCACUUCACUGAUUGACCAUACAUCACAAUAAUACAGAAAAUUUAGAAAUAUAAAGUAGAGAACUGGUAAAUACAUUUCUGUGCCUUUUUAUGCGUGUUUUUGUUAAUUUUUACAACACACUUAAUGCAGGUAGGUUUUAUUUUUAUUGUAUUGAACAAGAAUACAGCUAAAUAACUUUUUCUUGACUUGUUUUCACACAAUGUUUCAUCUCAAAAUUUCCAUUAAAGCAGUUUAUAUUCUUACAAAAUAUAUUUAGUUUUAUAGCAAUGUUUGUAUUAUAUAUAUCUCGUUAUGUUAUGAUUCAAAACUAAUUACAUUAUUUUUUAUUUCUGUACUAUCUGGGCAUUGCAAAAUAUUGUUUCUAUUUUCAGUCC